GGCCAGACUCCUACGGGAGGCAGCAGUGGGGAAUAUUGCACAAUGGGGGGAACCCUGAUGCAGCGACGCCGCGUGGGUGAAGGAGCACCUCGGUGCGUAAAGCUCUAUCAGCAGGGAAGAAGAUGACGGUACCUGAAUAAGAAGCCCCGGCUAACUACGUGCCAGCAGCCGCGGUAAUACGUAGGGGGCAAGCGUUAUCCGGAUUUACUGGGUGUAAAGGGAGCGUAGACGGUAUGGCAAGUCUGAAGUGAAAGCCCAGGGCUUAACCCUGGGACUGCUUUGGAAACUGUUAGACUAGAGUGCUGGAGAGGUAAGUGGAAUUCCUAGUGUAGCGGUGAAAUGCGUAGAUAUUAGGAGGAACACCAGUGGCGAAGGCGGCCUACUGGACGGUGACUGACGCUGAGGCUCGAAAGCGUGGGGAGCAAACAGGAUUAGAUACCCCCGUAAG
This 448-nucleotide ribosomal RNA is filed under the name uncultured bacterium. Its description in RNAcentral is "bacterial SSU rRNA". It matches the Rfam family "Bacterial small subunit ribosomal RNA", at positions 329 to 793 of the family's 1533-position model. The record is from RNAcentral.